AGCUCCGAGGUGUUAUACAUAACAGAUUGCAAAUCUGAAGUGGAAGAUUGAAACCUUCCGGGGCUU
This 66-nucleotide transfer RNA is filed under the name Pseudanthias dispar (peach fairy basslet). Its description in RNAcentral is "tRNA-Cys". RNAcentral also lists the same sequence under 1 other name. The record is from RNAcentral. Lineage: Eukaryota; Metazoa; Chordata; Actinopteri; Perciformes; Anthiadidae.